This 429-nucleotide ribosomal RNA is filed under the name uncultured bacterium. RNAcentral's name for it is "bacterial SSU rRNA". It matches the Rfam family "Bacterial small subunit ribosomal RNA", at positions 355 to 776 of the family's 1533-position model. The record is from RNAcentral.
UGGGGAAUUUUGGACAAUGGGCGCAAGCCUGAUCCAGCAAUGCCGCGUGCAGGAAGAAGGCCUUCGGGUUGUAAACUGCUUUUGUCAGGGAAGAAAUCUUCUGGGCUAAUACCCCGGGAGGAUGACGGUACCUGAAGAAUAAGCACCGGCUAACUACGUGCCAGCAGCCGCGGUAAUACGUAGGGUGCGAGCGUUAAUCGGAAUUACUGGGCGUAAAGCGUGCGCAGGCGGCUUUGCAAGACAGAUGUGAAAUCCCCGGGCUCAACCUGGGAGCUGCAUUUGUGACUGCAAGGCUAGAGUACGGCAGAGGGGGAUGGAAUUCCGCGUGUAGCAGUGAAAUGCGUAGAUAUGCGGAGGAACACCAAUGGCGAAGGCAAUCCCCUGGGCCUGUACUGACGCUCAUGCACGAAAGCGUGGGGAGCAAACAGG